GACGAACGCUGGCGGCGUGCUUAACACAUGCAAGUCGAACGGAAAGGCCCUGCUUUUGUGGGGUGCUCGAGUGGCGAACGGGUGAGUAACACGUGAGUAACCUGCCCUUUACUUUGGGAUAACUUCAGGAAACUGGGGCUAAUACCGGAUAGGAGCUCCUGCUGCAUGGUGGGGGUUGGAAAGUUUCGGCGGUUGGGGAUGGACUCGCGGCUUAUCUGCUUGUUGGUGGGGUAGUGGCUUACCAAGGCUUUGACGGGUAGCCGGCCUGAUAGGGUGACCGGUCACAUUGGGACUGAGAUACGGACCAGACUUCUACGGGAGGCAGCAGUGGGGAAUGGUGCAAAAUGGGCGGAUGCCUGAUGCAGCAACGCCGCGUGCGUGAUGACGGCCUUCGGGUUGUAAACCGCUUUCGCCUGUGACGAUGCGUGAGUGACGGUAAUGGGUAAAGAAGCACCGGCUAACUACGUG
This 468-nucleotide ribosomal RNA is filed under the name uncultured bacterium. Its description in RNAcentral is "partial 16S ribosomal RNA". It matches the Rfam family "Bacterial small subunit ribosomal RNA", at positions 28 to 507 of the family's 1533-position model. The record is from RNAcentral.